Molecule: ribosomal RNA, 468 nt
Filed under: uncultured bacterium
Lineage: Bacteria
Description: partial 16S ribosomal RNA
Rfam family: Bacterial small subunit ribosomal RNA
Source: RNAcentral
GACGAACGCUGGCGGCGUGCUUAACACAUGCAAGUCGAACGGAAAGGCCCUGCUUUUGUGGGGUGCUCGAGUGCCGAACGGGUGAGUAACACGUGAGUAACCUGCCCUUGACUUUGUGAUAUCUUCAGGAAACUGGGGCUAAUACCGGAUAGGAGCUCCUGCUGCAUGUUGGGGGUUGGAAAGUUUCGGCGGUUGGGGAUGGACUCGCGGCUUAUCAGCUUGUUGGUGGGGUAGUUGCUUACCAAGGCUUCGACGGGUAGCCGGCCUGAGAGGGUGACCGGCGACAAUGGGACUGCGGUACGGAGCAGACGCCUACGGGACGCAGCAGUGGGGAAUAUUGCACAAUGGCCGGGAGCCUGAUGCGGCAACGCCGCGUGCGGGAUAACGGCCUUCGGGUGGUGAACCGCUUUCGCCUGUGACGAAGAGUGCGUGACGGUAAUGGGUAAGGAAGCACCGGCUAACUACGUG